Mustela lutreola (European mink) is the source of this 1994-nucleotide long non-coding RNA. RefSeq lists it as uncharacterized. The transcript is spliced from 4 exons. Lineage: Eukaryota; Metazoa; Chordata; Mammalia; Carnivora; Mustelidae. The record is from RefSeq and is a predicted model, not a curated record.
CUGGGUUAGACACAGUAAAGAGGUCGUGGGUUCUUCUUGGACCCUCCAGGCAUAAAUGACAGGUUAGUUAAAAAAACAAAGACAGAGAACGAAAAAAGAAAAAGGAAAGAAAAGACACCUAUCUCGGCUUUGCUACCUUUUAAAACGCGGCUGAAUUGGUUCGGAAUCCUUGCGGAGCAGCUAAGAGGAUCCAGCCGGACGCGGUUCAUGAAGAGAAAAAAGAAGUGGUUGAUUAAUUUGAACUGUCAAUCCCAAGAUAACCCAAUACCCACAUCUGACUCUUUCAAUCAAUGGUUUCAACAUCUCUAGCAUCAUUUUGAGUUGGUAUUUUCUUGUGUUCAAGUACCAGAUGUGGAGGAUUCAUUGCAGGCACCAGGACUCUCACUUGCCUGAAGGUGGACAAGCAAGGACCGAGAGACAGCAGAUCUCUCUUGUGCCCCACAGUAAAGCACCAAGACCUCGUGCAAGAGGAGUGCUGUCUGCACAGCAUACAGUUCUGGUAUUCCCCUUUCUAGUGCAAGUCCUUGAAAUCUUGAUCUCAACACAGAAGCUCAAACUGAAAGGUUAAGAUUACCAAAUCUGGGGUCAAAAUAUCUUCAUAUUGAGCUGUAAGACCCUUCUCACUACUGUAAGAGGUGCAGAUCUCAGCCCAAGAGAGCCAUUUCUUAACACUCUGAAAAGAAGUCAGCCUUGGCAGUCAAUGAAGCAAAGCUAAGGACACAGGUGGAAUCUGAAAUAAAGACUCACAGGUUUGGCACCUAAGGCCACUCAGAUUCCUACAACCAUUUGUAAGAAAUGGAAAAGUGAAGCCCAUACAGCCCUCACUAGCAAGAUAGACCUAUCCCUGAAGAGAUAACUGCACCUAUCCUCCUGAAAAUAGAGAAAUGGGUUAGGCAGUUGGACAUAGAGGACACUUUUAGACAACAGGCUUGAGCAAUGGAAACUCGACCAAGGCAAAAGGGCCCACAGCUACCACCUGGCUGAAUACAGACACACCCAUGAAGGCAGCCCACCUCAAAUAUCAAUAACCCUAAGUAACAAAUGAGCUAAUUAAAGCCAGAUAAAGUUACCAAAACAAGGGAAAUUUCACACAUCACCAUACCGCCUCAUGGCCCCCUUUUAAAUACACCCCCCACCCACUGCCUUGUGGCAGUUACUUCUUUGCUAUCCUGCCUGCUACUUCGUUGUGGUGUAUUCAAUCAACUUCUAUCUCCUUUGUUCUGCCUUGGGUGAGUCCUUUCACCACCCAUGCUACUGGCUUCCACCCCGUCAUCACCCCACUUUUGGGGGCUCCCAUCCAAUCCAGAAAGGCACCACAUUGAAGAAUAAGUUUAUAGCAUGACAAGCAGUUUGACAUAAAAAGAUUAUAUCUAGGACUUCUUAUUUCUAAUAAUAAGCAAUUUGACCCUCAAAUUACAUUUAAAAAGUAAACAAACCAAGAAAACUUUAAAUUUUUGACAGAGAGAGAGAUAACACAGCAGGGAGAGGGAGCAGCAGACAUAGGGAGAUGCAGGCAGAAGGAAAAGCAGACUCCCCACUGAGCAGGGAGCCCAAACACAGGGUUUGAUCCCAGGGCCUUGGGAUCAUGUCCUGAGGCUGAAGGCAGAUGCUUAAUCAACUGAGCCACCCAGAUGCCCCUAGAGUUUUGAACUUAGAGUCAACUUACAUUCUUAAUGUUUUUUUAAAUUUUAAUGUUACUUUAUUUUUUCAGUGUUCCAAGAUUCAUCUUAAAUGUUUUUGAAAGAAUCUCUGCCCAAAGUAAGAAUUAGGGUGGAGAUAUUUCUCAAUGUCUGGGAAAUACAAUAAGUUAAUUGUAUGUUAUCAAAAUCCAUCAAAAUAUAAUGUCUGACAUAGCUUUCUGUCUCCAAUCAUAAUGCUAUCAAAUUUUUAGAGAAUAUUUUGGGACAAUUUAGUGGUAUAAUAAUGAAAUUUUUAGGAUGUUUAAAAAAAAUCUACUUUUAAUGAACAUGACAUGGAUCAGCUAACGUCUUAAA